UACGAAGGGGGCGAGCGUUAUUCGGAAUCACUGGGCGUAAAGCGUGCGUAGGCCGUCUAGCAAGUUGGAAGUGAAAGCCCAGGGCUCAACCCUGGAAUUGCUUUCAAAACUGCAAGACUAGAGCCCGGGAGAGGAUAGCGGAAUUUCCAGUGUAGUAGUGAAAUACGUAGAUAUUGGAAGGAACACCAGUGGCGCAAGCGGCUAUCUGGACCGGUACUGACGCUGAGGCACGAAAGCGUGGGGAUCAAACAGG
Molecule: ribosomal RNA, 253 nt
Filed under: uncultured bacterium
Lineage: Bacteria
Description: partial 16S ribosomal RNA
Rfam family: Bacterial small subunit ribosomal RNA
Source: RNAcentral